This 437-nucleotide long non-coding RNA is filed under the name Homo sapiens (human). RNAcentral's name for it is "HSALNT0142621". The record is from RNAcentral. Lineage: Eukaryota; Metazoa; Chordata; Mammalia; Primates; Hominidae.
CAAAUCUGUCAACGUCAGAUGUGGCCAAUAUGAUGAUUCAGGCCUUUCUUUGGAAGCUGGGAACUUCCAGAUUCAAGGCUCCAGAAAGUCCAAGAUUCAAGGCACCAGCAGGUUUGGUUGUCUGGUGAGGGCUGCAUCCUCCAGAGAGGAGGAACUUCAUGUUUUCUCAUGGCAUACGGACAGGAGAGCAAGCUAGUGGAAUGUUGCGUGGCACCUCUUUCAUAAGGUUCUUACUUCCAGUAAGGAGAGAGAGGAGCCUUCACAGACUAAUCACCUCUUAAACGCCCCAUUCUUUAUUACUAUCACAUUGACAAUACUGGAAUUUUGGAGGGAAUACAUUCAAACCACAGAAAAUACAUCAUACUGAAUUGUUCCACCAAUGUACAUUGUUUAACUAUCUUUACAAAUUAAGAAAAAUUAAAUAUUCAGAAUUCUAG